UUUACUCAGUGAGUGCAAGAGGUUUGUUUGAAACAGACCGCAAUGGAGAGAUCAGCGCCCAGGGAAGGGAGGGAACAGCAGGCUCCUUCCAGCAGCACAUCGGGAUGGGAGCCUGGGACACAGAGGGGGCUCCGACACUGGGAUUGAUUCGGGGCAAGUACUCAAAGGACCAAGGCAAUGUAAUAUUCCCUCGGUACAGAGCCAAGUGUGACCAGCUGCUUUGAACAAACAGCAGAUGCUGCCAGACCUCCUGAGUGUCUGAGGCAAUUUUUUUUUAAGUGUUCAUGUCAAGUCUUCAGCUGCACCCCAGUGAAAAAUGAGCACAGAUCAUGGAUGAAAAAUGGAUUACCUGGCACCGUGAGGUCGAUGGAAUUACUGGUAACAUUAAAUAUCAUUCCAAUGGGACCCCUGUUGAUCAAGAGACACUGUUAUCGGCGUUGGUGCUGGGACUGGGAGGAUUCAAUGGCCAGCUCUGUUCUGCCUGAGCUCGAGUUGUAAUUCCCACUGGCAUUGUUUAAGGCUUUCUGUUGAAAGUACCAUUGAAAGUACGGUCCAGUACCUCGGCUCAGUACACACUCUGAAACGAGAUGACUCCCAAUCAGAACCUCCAUUUUCUUGGCUCUGGGCAUGAGGAAAACCCCAGCAACAGGAACUGGAACAAAACAAGACAAAGAGGAAAGAAAAGAUCGGAUGCUGAAAUUGUCUCUUUUUUCACAGAUGUUAUCUGCGAUGACAGGAUAAUAAUUGAUGGAAAGGAGAAAUAAAACAAGCAAGAUUUCACAUCAUUGCAAAGUCUUCCGAUGUUGUAAAAUCUAUACUUCGAAAGAUUUGUGUUAGUAUGGAUGGCCAGAUCAUCCAACCAUUGCCUCUCGAUGUUCAAUGGUGUUACCAUCACCGUCCCCACCCCACUGCACUAUCAACAUCCUUGGGGGUUCCUGUCAUUGUCCCAACCCUCUUCCCACUAUCAACAUCCUGAAGGUUACCGUCACUGUCCCCACCCUGCUGCACUAACAACACCCUGAGGGUUACCAUCACUGUCCUCAUCCCCACUAUCAACAUCCUACAGGUUACCAUCACAGUCCCCAACCCCACUAUCAACAUCCUGAAGGAUACUAUCACUGUCCCCACCCCCACCUCACUAUCAACAUCCUGAGAGUUACCAUCACUGUCCCCAACCCUACACUACUAUGAACAUCUUUGGUGUUACCAUCAGCCUCCCCCAGCUCAUAAUGUCUAAGCUUCUACCUUUCUCUGAUGGAUUGCUUAAGAAGUAAUUGCAGAGUCAGUGGUCUACAGCACAGAUCUUCGGCUGACUGAAUCCAUACUAGUCAAAAGCAACCAACUCACUAUUCUCUCAUACAAUUUUCCCAGUCAUUGGGUCAUACAGCAUGGAAAUAGACGCGUCGGCCCAACACGUCCAUGCUGACCAGGCCUCACUCACAAAACUAGUCCUAUUUGUUUGCCUUUGGUCCAUAUCCGUCAAAACUUUUCCUAUCCACGUAUCUUUCCAAAUCUCUUUUAGAGGUUGUUAUUGUACUCACUUCUACCACUUCCUCUGGCAGCUCAUUCCAAAUAUGCACCACCAUCUGUGUGAAGAAGUACCCUCUCUGGUCACUUUUCAAUCUUUCCUCUCUCACCUUAAAUCGAUGCCCUCUAGUUUUGCACUCCCCGGCCCUGCAGAAAAUACCUUGGCUAUUCACCUUAUCCAAGCCCCUAUUUCUGCAGGAAAAUACAAGUGAAACUUCAAGGACCACUUAAUCUGACUCAAGCCUUGGCAUCGCAAGUGUACAUCUAAAUCCUUCUUCAGCAUGAUGAGGAUUUCUGCCUCUCUCACCUUUCCAGGCAGUGAGUUCCAGACUCCCCACCACCCUCUGGGUGAAAAUGUUUGCCCCCACAUCCCUUUCUAAACCUCCUGCCCCUUACUUUCAAUGUAUGCCCCUCCCCCAGUCAUUGAUCUCUCCAUCAAAGGGGGAAAAGUUUCUUCCUCUCUACCCUAUCUACACCCCUCUUCAUUUUAUACAUCUCAAUCAUGUCACUACUCUCAAUCUCCUCUGCUCUCAGAAAAACAACUAUAGUCUGUCCAAUCUCUCUCUCCAUCACUGAAACUCUCCAGUCCCCAAGGAAAUAUCCUGGUAAACUUUGCUCUUAUGGGAUAUAGGUAAAUUAUUGUUACUUCUGCAAUUAUAAUUGCUGGUGCGAGGUGAAUGAACUCACACUGGUGUGUAGUUGUUAGGCCGGGGGCUGAGUCGGCGGGAGUGGGAGCUGUAUGGAGGAAAUGCGUGAUUUUUUUUUGUAUUAGCUAAAAAUGUAUGCAAGAAAGAAACGGGAUUGCAAAACAAUGGUAGAUAUUACAGGCGACGAGAUACGAUGCUUUGAGGGGCAGCACAGAUGGAGGGAGUAGAUAAUGGUAAGCAAAGGAUGUGCCUAACAAUGACCUACAGCAGCAUGAGGUCAAACGACCUUGUGAGGCCAGGAUAAGACAAGAGAUAAACAGGAGUAAUGGGUACCGGUCUUGAGGAAGUGGAGGAUGUAAACAGCUGGGGGAACAAUGAAAUUUUUUUAAAAAUGUAGGAACCAAAUUAUAUAAAUAGAGUAUUUGUUGAAU
Long non-coding RNA from Hemiscyllium ocellatum (epaulette shark), 2605 nucleotides. RefSeq lists it as uncharacterized. NCBI's taxonomy places the organism in Eukaryota, Metazoa, Chordata, Chondrichthyes, Orectolobiformes, Hemiscylliidae. The record is from RefSeq and is a predicted model, not a curated record. The transcript is spliced from 3 exons.